RNAcentral lists this long non-coding RNA (1369 nucleotides) under Felis catus (domestic cat). RNAcentral's name for it is "lncRNA (ENSFCAG00000042554.2)". The record is from RNAcentral. Lineage: Eukaryota; Metazoa; Chordata; Mammalia; Carnivora; Felidae.
ACCUCAGCAUAUGAAUUUUGGAAGAUACAAUUCAACCAUACCGAUAGUUACAUUUAUAUAAAGAAUAUUUGUAUUUGUGUUUGGUAAGAAUACACACAUUCAAGUGUGUAUUAGUCAUGAAAAAGGGAGACUGGUUAUCUAUGGUUCUACCAUGUGAAAAAAAAAACAUUAAAAUUCAGUAUAUAUUUUUUCUCGCUCUUUAUUAUACAGAUUAUGGGAAAAAGCCAGUUCCAAAAAGAUGAUGAUAUUCUUCAGUGGUAUAUUACAGAAGAAAUAUUGCAAUCUUCAUUCAUUGCAAGGAGCCUGACAAAGGGGAAGAGAAAGGAAAGAAAGAAUGACAUUCCAGACAGGAGGAGGGAUAUGAAGUGAGGUGCAGACAUGAGAAGUUUACAAAACUCUAUAAGCUGGAAUUGGACGAGACUGAGAGAGCAUGGAGCCUAAUUUUUGAAAAGAAAAACGUCUGAGUAAGUAAUUUUUUAAAUAUGUAGCCUGGAGAAGAAGAAACGAGUUAAAUCCAAACACAGCAGCAGAAUGCUGUGUGUCCUUGAUGGCAGCCAGUGGUAAGAUGGGAAGGCAUCGGGUCCUGUCUACAAGGCAGAAAUAACCCUGGCUUUUUUACGGUACAUGAUGUUGAAUUUUAAAUAGUAUAUUUAAUUCCAAUAUUAUUGACAUGUAUUAACUUUAAUUUUUUUUUUCAACGUUUAUUUAUUUUUGGGACAGAGAGAGACAGAGCAUGAACGGGGGAGGGGCAGAGAGAGAGGGAGACACAGAAUCGGAAACAGGCUCCAGGCUCUGAGCCAUCAGCCCAGAGCCCGACGCGGGCUCGAACUCACGGACCGCGAGAUCGUGACCUGGCUGAAGUCGGACGCCCAACCGACUGCGCCACCCAGGCGCCCUGACAUGUAUUAACUUUAAUGCCAGUUGUGCUAAAGCCCCACAUAGUCAGUUACACUCGUGUCAACCCAACUGUUCCACGGGACACAUUAAGGAUCUAGACCCAGCAGGCAGAAGGCUUCCUGAGGGCAGGAGAAUAGGAUUACCCUUUACCUCACAUUUUACCCCUUUGCUGCAGCCACUCAUGGGACUGCAUAAGCCGGUGACUCAUUUCAUUUUCUGAGGUCACCCUUGUACCGUCAGAGAGCAUCACUGCUGUUUUCUCCUUCCCAAGGGACAACCCCUCCCCACUCCAGAAUAUUAAUUUAAGCAGAGCUACAAGAUACAGGGGUCACAGAGUAGGCUUACAGAAGCAGUGUCGUCCUUUCAGAGAUUUUUGAAAGCGAAUUUGUAACUGUAAAGAAUUUGCAACAGUAACGACAGAGAGGUACCUCCCAAGCAUAAUUUACAGAGUUAUCUUGGUUUCCUUAGUUGU